AAAAAAAAAAAGGGCAACAGGCCCCAGAGUGGAUCGAGGCUCUACUACCUACCGGCUGUAUGAACUUGGGUAAGUUCAUUGGCCCCUCUGAGUCUCAGUGUCCUCAUCUAUAAAAGGGAGGUAAUAGCUACCUUAUAAUUCUGGUGAGAUUAAAAUGAGGCUGGCAUACAUAAUGGUAGCUCAGUCAAGGUUGACUGUUGUUAUAACUAUGCAUGAACAUCUACUUUUAGAGUUUCAUUUCAAAAUGAAACUAAGUAGGUACCAUUUUCCACAGGUCUGGUGAUAUAAGUUAGGUUAUGUUCCUAUAUUGAUUUGCAGCCAAUGCAUGUGUGAAGAAUAUAUUGUCUUGUAUGUUUAUGCUUCCAGUUGGAAGUCUAGGGAUAGAGUCUGCAUUUGUUCAAAGACAAAUCGAGAGGCCUGUCUUGAGUAGACCCAGUCCAAGUGCUGAAGAAAAACUUAUUCUGAUGUUCGUUAAAGACUGUAAGGAAGAUUUUAUUCAAGGGACUGCAGCAAUGGGUGUCUGCAGGAAGCAGGGGAGAUUGGGCUCAACUCUGAAUAAAACAAGCAAAAGUGAGGAUUUAUCACCAAGGAGCAGGGUGCGGGGUCAGUGGAUGGAAAAGUACUAAGAGGAAACAUUAGGAAUAAGGGGGCAUACUGGCUAAUCUGAUUUAACAGGAUUCUUCCUGAAAGCACGUCAGGGUGAUCAGAUAUCAGCCAGGAGAUGGUGGGGGAUGAGGAACUGAAUCAGACAUCAAGGGUGAUCAGAUAUCAGCGACGGGAGGUUCUCACUAAACUGACUUGGCAGGAUUCUUUCUCUUGAGGACAAGCCUCAAGGAGGGGCCUGGUCAAGAAAAGGCUUACACAAGACUGACUACAGCUUGCUUAAGGAGCAAGUCUUUGUCACACAGGACCCACAAAAUAGCCUGAAAGGUCCUUGCUUUGAAUGUCUGGUUCAAUCUUGCCACAUUGUUCAUUGGGAUAAAUAGGAUUUGCAUAUAAAGUAACCUGUCUCCUUCCAUGGAAGGAAGGAAAGGAGAAAGCACAAAUACCAGGUGAAAAAUCACCCAUUCACUUAUUCAGCGCAAUGCAUUGCACGUCUGCUAUGUGCCAGACAUCAUCUCCGGUCCUUGGAGGAUAGCCGUGAACAAAACCUUUGUGGUCCCUCACCUUGCAGAUUCGCAGACCAGAUAGCAAUGAGACAUUGGGCAACUGUGAUGAGCAGCAUGACUGAAGUUGGAACAUUCCAAAAGCAUGUGACCGGGAGAUCCAGUCUGGUCUGAAGGUCAGAAAAAUUUCCCUGAGAACGUGACACUGAACUUCAGACCUAAAGAAACACAGAGGGAAGGGAGAGUAGAGGACAAGAGAUGACGAAGCCCGGGUAAUAAGGAAGCUAGAGGUGCAGGCAGGCCUUCAAAACCAUGAACUUGAUUCUGAGGGUCACUGAAAACAACUUGAGGGCCAGUGACUGGAUCAGACUUGUGCCCCAGACUCAGCUCUCUGCACCUACAUCCAGUAUGCAACAGGAUGGAGAGAAGUGGCUUGAUCUGAGAGGCACCAAGGAGAUCAUUCACUCUGGGAGAAGUCAACUAUGGAGAGUCUCACACAGAAAGGAACCGAAGCUUCCUGACAACAGUCCCAUGAAGGAUCUUGGGAGCCAGUUCUCCAGCCCUUCCGAUGGCUGCAGCCCCAGCCAGCAACUUGCCUGUGACCUCACAAGAGUCCCCUGUGACCUCACAAGAGUCCCCUUAGCCAGAGCCACCCAGCUAAACUGCUCCCAGAUCCCUGACCCUCAGAAACUAGGCAAGAUAAUAAAUUGUGUUGUUCUGCACUGC
This is a long non-coding RNA of Aethalodelphis obliquidens (Pacific white-sided dolphin), 1832 nucleotides long. RefSeq lists it as uncharacterized. The transcript is spliced from 2 exons. NCBI's taxonomy places the organism in Eukaryota, Metazoa, Chordata, Mammalia, Artiodactyla, Delphinidae. The record is from RefSeq and is a predicted model, not a curated record.